GUCCCACCACUGCUUACUUGAUGCACCUGGUAGAGCUCCCCAAGAAACGCCGCAAGAAGAAGUUGAUGUACCACCAGCUACAAGACGGAGAUCAAUUUAGUGAUGAAGAGGAGUAUGGUGGGAAUGAAGUUGUGGAGAUCAAUGAAGCUGUGGAUACAUUAACAAUGGAGAAUAAAUUCAUGAUCCAUCAAAGUAAAGUUGUAUCAUCCUUUCCAAGAAUGUACGAGGAUGUCUGUGAUGGGAUUGAGGACUUGAGAGUUUCAAUUGUGUUCCUCACCUUUCACAAGCACCAGCGCCUUGAUAGAAAAUUGGAGCCUGGCAAGGAAGGGAUAAGAGUGACCAACCAAAAGCUUCUACGCCAUGCCCCUUGCUCGGUGGGGAUCUUUGUAGACAGAGGGCAGACAGGAUUUCACUUGCCUACCUCUGAAUCAGUGCAAAAUGUGGCAACAUUGUUCUUUGGAGGCCCUGAUGAUCGAGAGGCAUUAGCUUGCAGCAAAAGGAUUGCCUCACACCCUCACAUUAAUUUC
RNAcentral lists this unclassified non-coding RNA (527 nucleotides) under Hevea brasiliensis (rubber tree). Lineage: Eukaryota; Viridiplantae; Streptophyta; Magnoliopsida; Malpighiales; Euphorbiaceae. The record is from RNAcentral.